RNAcentral lists this ribosomal RNA (330 nucleotides) under Triticum aestivum (bread wheat). RNAcentral's name for it is "partial small subunit ribosomal RNA". Lineage: Eukaryota; Viridiplantae; Streptophyta; Magnoliopsida; Poales; Poaceae. The record is from RNAcentral.
AUGAUCGACGAUACCAAAUUCACAAGGGUCUGUCAGGUUACAAGUUAUCAUCCUCAUGUUUCCAGGCUACAAGCAAAACUUGUUGAGUUUCAGAUUAUGCCAGGCUAUUCAAUUCAGCGAGGCCACCCACUAGAACUGCAACUGGGAUUGAGGAUGACAACCGGGCUUGCAGUGAUGUUAAUAUUGGAUCUUGGGAUGGCUAAGAGAAACGCAAAUAGCACCAUAAAAUCAAGUUCAUUGAACCCAGACUGGUUUUCUGUGCAGAAAAAAAUGGAUAUAUUUAUUUGGGAAGUUAGUUUAAUAAAUUUCAGCUAUUUGUUCAAAUCUUAG